AUGGUGACCACUCGGAUAGAGGCUGUGGCUGUAGCAUGCAGCGAUGCUAGUGAAAUUUGUGGAGAUAACAUCUAUCACAUCGAGCCCCUCAAUUCAGAAGACUCCAAGAAGCUGUUCCUCAGCAGAGCAUUUGGCUCCAAGGAUGCCACUUGCCCCACAGAGCUGGAAGAUGAAAUGAACAAAAUUCUCAAGAAAUGUGGUGGGCUGCCAUUGGCCAUUGUCAGCAUUGGCAGCCUUUUGGCCAGCUAUAAAUCACCGGAGCACAAGGAUAUGUGGGAUAGGGUUUGCAAAUCAAUUAGUUAUCAUAUGGAUACCAAUCCCACCCUUGACGGGAUGAGGCAGAUACUCACACUCAGCUACGACCACCUGCCCUAUCACCUCAAGGGUUGCAUGAUGUAUCUUAGUAUUUUCCCGGAGGAUUUUCUCAUCAACAAGGACCGGCUCGUAUACAGAUGGAUCGCUGAAGGAUUGGUUGAGGAGAAGCGGGGGAUGACCCUGUUGGAGGUUGCAGAAGCCUACUAUGACGAGCUGGUGAGUAGGGGCAUGAUUAAUCCCGCUGGCGAAAUAAUCAGCCAUGUCUAUGGAGCUGUGGAGACAUGUCGGGUGCAUGACUUGAUGCUGGAGGUCAUGGUGUCCAAAUCCUUGGAGGCCAACUUUGUCAGCCUGAUAGGUGGGCAGUAUGAUGGGAUGUCCUAUGACACAAUACGCCGCCUCUCCCUCCAUGGUGGUGCGCAGAUGCCCAAGGAAUCUCCAUCCAAGAAGUACUCUCCAUCCAAAAGACCCAAGGAAUCUACAUCCAAGAAAAUGGUUAAGAAGAAUGACUUAAAAGACAUUAAUGUGCAGCAUGUCCGAUCACUGAGUAUGUUUCAGCUCCAAGGGAACAAGCUGCUUGAUCGUCUGGGUGAGUUCACCCUGCUGAGAGUACUUGACCUGGAAGACUGCAAGGGCGUAGAAAACAAGCAUAUGGGUGACAUCUGUCGGAUGUACCUUCUGAGGUAUUUGUCCCUGAGAGGUACAGAUAUCAGUGUGCUGCCUCCGAAAGUCUGUGACCUGGAGCAUUUGCAGACACUUGAUAAGGAUGUCUGGUCUACCAUGUGGAAGCCACCUCAGGGUCUCUGGAAAAUGAAGGCGCUGCGGGAGGUGGGCUGGAUAUUGCUGGAAGAUGAUGCUGUUGAGGUUGCCCAAGAGGUAGGUGAACUAGAAAAUCUGCAAAGGUUAAGUAUCUACGUCGAUUGUGAGAGGCCCAAUGGUCCCAAGGUUCUUGAAGAGCUUGCCCUGUCCCUGAGCAGGACGCACUCUCUCCGGUCGCUCGACAUGGGCACCAUGAGUUAUGAGGCCAAUGCGUUGAACUUUCUCCUUGAGCUCCCCUCGCCGCCACGCCUCCUCCGAUUCCUCAGGAUCGCUGGUGGCAUUGACAAAUUGCCCAACUGGGUUGAAUCGCUCACAUAUCUUGUUGAGUUUCACAUGUCAUGGGCACACUUUAUCGAUGACCAACUAUUUGGGGUUCUGUGUAAGUUGCCCAACCUGAAGAGCAUCUGGAUGCAGCGGAACUGCUACACCGGUCUAGAGCUGAUUGCACGCGCUGCACACAACUUUCCAGCGCUCAAGAAUCUCAGAGGGACCUGUGAUAACGAAAUGCCCAGAGUCUACAAAUUUGAGGAAGGAUCCAUGACAAAGCUCGAGAAACUUUCACUGAAUUUCGACAACUGGAGUGAGAAGAGCAUUGUGGGCAUUGAGCACUUGACAAGCCUUAAAGAGGUGCAGCUCGCAGGUAAGAGAGGGAACCCUGCGCUGGACCGAACUCUGGAGCAGCUAAAGGUGGAGAGUGGAAGGCACCCCAAUCAGUUCACAGUUGGAGUGAAGUACGACUAA
This 1872-nucleotide ribosomal RNA is filed under the name Triticum aestivum (bread wheat). RNAcentral describes it as "partial small subunit ribosomal RNA". Lineage: Eukaryota; Viridiplantae; Streptophyta; Magnoliopsida; Poales; Poaceae. The record is from RNAcentral.